Molecule: ribosomal RNA, 274 nt
Filed under: uncultured bacterium
Lineage: Bacteria
Description: partial 16S ribosomal RNA
Rfam family: Bacterial small subunit ribosomal RNA
Source: RNAcentral
AUACGGGGGGUGCAAGCGUUAUUCGGAUUUAUUGGGCGUAAAGGGCGCGUAGGCGGCUUGGAAAGUCAGAUGUGAAAGCCCGGGGCUCAACCCCGGAAGUGCAUUUGGAACUAUCAGGCUUGAGUAUGGGAGAGGGAAGUGGAAUUCCUGGUGUAGAGGUGAAAUUCGUAGAUAUCAGGAGGAACACCGGUGGCGAAGGCGACUUCCUGGACCAAUACUGACGCUGAGGCGCGAAGGCGUGGGGAGCAAACAGGAUUAGAAACCCGAGUAGUCC